This 292-nucleotide ribosomal RNA is filed under the name uncultured microorganism. Its description in RNAcentral is "partial 16S ribosomal RNA". It matches the Rfam family "Bacterial small subunit ribosomal RNA", at positions 505 to 796 of the family's 1533-position model. The record is from RNAcentral.
GUGCCAGCAGCCGCGGUAAUACGUAGGGUGCGAGCGUUGUCCGGAUUUAUUGGGCGUAAAGAGCUCGUAGGCGGUUUGUCGCGUCGGCCGUGAAAACCUGCCGCUCAACGGUGGGCGUGCGGUCGAUACGGGCAGACUUGAGUUCGGUAGGGGAGACUGGAAUUCCUGGUGUAGCGGUGAAAUGCGCAGAUAUCAGGAGGAACACCGGUGGCGAAGGCGGGUCUCUGGGCCGAUACUGACGCUGAGGAGCGAAAGCGUGGGGAGCGAACAGGAUUAGAUACCCUGGUAGUCC